CUGCACAGAAACGAAGUCACACGGAGAAACUUGACGACAUGGUCCAUCGCGGGAUAGUUCCGGCGUGAGAAUAAGUACAUGUUGAAUAAAGUUUAACAAUUGAGGUUUAAUGCUCUAGUGCUGUAAAAUCAAAGAUUAUUGAAGGCAAUUAGAGACGAAAAAUUAAAAAUGAAGAUGGAUGAUCAUAUUAAGUCGAAUGAGGAAAUAGAAAGAGUAAGGAAAACGGCCGACACACACAUGAUUGUGGCUGCACUCGUAACAACAGUAACCUUCGCAGCUGAAUUCACCUUGCCAGGAGGCUACGAUGGAAAUGAAG
Molecule: long non-coding RNA, 316 nt
Filed under: Panax ginseng (ginseng)
Lineage: Eukaryota; Viridiplantae; Streptophyta; Magnoliopsida; Apiales; Araliaceae
Description: long non-coding RNA (PGIN_LNC011185)
Source: RNAcentral